AUUGAACGCUGGCGGCAUGCCUUACACAUGCAUGUCGAACGGCAGCAUGGAGAGCUUGCUCUCUGAUGGCGAGUGGCGAACGGGUGAGUAAUGCAUCGGAACGUACCGUGUAAUGGGGGAUAACGUAGCGAAAGUUACGCUAAUACCGCAUACGACCUGAGGGUGAAAGCAGGGGAUCGCAAGACCUUGCAUUAUACGAGCGGCCGAUGUCAGAUUAGCUAGUUGGUGAGGUAAAGGCACACCAAGGCGACGAUCUGUAGCGGGUCUGAGAGGAUGAUCCGCCACACUGGGACUGAGACACGGCCCAGACUCCUACGGGAGGCAGCAGUGGGGAAUUUUGGACAAUGGGGGCAACCCUGAUCCAGCCAUGCCGCGUGAGUGAAGAAGGCCUUCGGGUUGUAAAGCUCUUUCGGCCGGGAAGAAAUCGCACAGGCUAAUACUCUGUGUGGAUGACGGUACCGGCAUAAGAGGCACCGGCUAACUACGUGCCAGCCGCCGCGGUAA
This 504-nucleotide ribosomal RNA is filed under the name uncultured bacterium. RNAcentral describes it as "partial 16S ribosomal RNA". It matches the Rfam family "Bacterial small subunit ribosomal RNA", at positions 30 to 523 of the family's 1533-position model. The record is from RNAcentral.